Molecule: unclassified non-coding RNA, 148 nt
Organism: Macaca mulatta (Rhesus monkey)
Lineage: Eukaryota; Metazoa; Chordata; Mammalia; Primates; Cercopithecidae
Rfam family: Metazoan signal recognition particle RNA
About the family: The signal recognition particle (SRP) is a universally conserved ribonucleoprotein. It is involved in the co-translational targeting of proteins to membranes.
Source: Ensembl
GCCGGGUGUGGUGGCGUGUGCCUGUAAUCCCAGCUACUCGGGAGGCUGAGGCAGAAGAAUUGCUUGAACCUGGGAGGUGGAGGUUGCAGUGAGCAGAGAUUGUGCCAUUGCAUUCCAGCCUGGGUGACAGAGUGAGACUCUGUCUCAA